This 1587-nucleotide long non-coding RNA is filed under the name Sus scrofa (pig). RNAcentral's name for it is "lncRNA (ENSSSCG00040017474.1)". Lineage: Eukaryota; Metazoa; Chordata; Mammalia; Artiodactyla; Suidae. The record is from RNAcentral.
CCACACCUCGGCAUCAUGGAAGUUCCCAGGCCAAGGGUCAAAAGAGAACUACAAUGGCCAGCCUGUGCCACAGCAAUGCUGGAUCUGAGCCGCAUCUGCCACCUACAUGCGGGAGCUUAAGGCAGUGAUCCUUAACCCACUGAGUGAGGCCAGGGAUUAAACCCACAUCGUCACGGACUCUAUGUCGUGUUCUUAACUCGAUGAGCCACAACGGGAACUCCAGAACUCCUGAAUUUUAAAUUUACUACAUUCUAAAGCUACAAAUCAUGUAUCACACUUUAAGCAUCCACAUCCAAACAACUCACCCUCCAUCUUGAUCCAGUUUCCCCUCUCUACCUGCACUACCAGGUGUUCCCAUUUCAUUAUUUAUCUCCCUCUUUCUUUCCCUAUAUCUCCUUCUUUUUGUUUUUGUUUUGUUGUUGCCGGCUUUUUGUGGUUUGUUUGUCUGCUUCUUAGGGCUGAACCUGUAGCAUAUGCAAGUUUCCAGGCUAGGGAUUCAACUGGAACUGCAGCUGCCAGACUACACCUCAGCCGUAGCAACAUGGAUUGCAGCCACAUCUUCGACCUACACCACAGCUCAUGGCAAUGCUAAAUUCUUAACCCAGUGGGCGAGGCCAGGGAUUGAACCCACAUCCUCAUGGAUAUUAGUUGUGUUCCCUAACCCACUGAGCUACAAGAGGAACUCCCUGAGCUAAAACAGGAACUCCCGUUUUUUUUUAUUUUAUGGCCCAAAACAUGGCAUGUGGAAGUUCCCAGGGCCUGGAAACUGGGAACUGGAGCCACAGCAAGACCAAUGUGCCCUGGGCUGUGGAUCAAACCCACACCUCUUCAGUGACCCAAGCCACUGCGCCCUACUAUUCUCAUGCAACCUAUUUCUUUCUUCUUCUUCUUUUUUUUUUUUUAGGGCUGCACCUGCGGCAUAUGGAGGGUCCCAGGCUAGGGGUGGAAUCAGAACUGUAGCUGCCAGCCUACACCAGACACAGUAACGCAGGAUCCGAGGCGCGUCUGUGACCUACACCACAGCUCAUGGCAACGUCAGAUCCUUAACCCACUGAGCAAGGCCAGGGAUGGAAUCCAUGUCCUCAUGGAUCCUAGUCAGGGGUUUGUUAACCACUGAGCCACGAUGGAAACUCCUGGCCUCCUAUUUCUUCUCUUUCUUUUUUGUCUUUUUAGGGCCACAUCCGAGGCACAUGGAGGUUGAAUUGGAGCUGUAGCCGCUGGUCUACACCACAGCCGCAACAACACCAGAUCCCAGCCACGUCUGUGACCUACACAGACUACAGAGACCACAGCUCACGGCAAUGCCGGAUCCUUAACCCACCUAGGGAGGCCAGGGGUCGAACCUGCGCUGGCAUGGAUUCUAGUCAGAUUCGUUUCUGCUGAGCCAGGAGGAGAACUCCCUGGCCUCCUGUUUCUUAUCUCUCAUCCAUCCUGCCCUACUCUGCAAGUAGACUCCCCACUUGUUCUUCCCCCAGCCUUUCUAAUUGUCUUAAAUAUCCAUAUAGUUCUGCCCCCUUCACACAACUCUACACUCUCUCUGUCCCCAGGGUUACACCACCCACCCCUUCUGUCCCUGUUACACUCCCU